UCCCAAGUAGCUCAAACGGUAAAGAAUCUGCCUGCAAUGUAGGAGAACUGGGUUCAAUCCCUGGGUUGGGAA
This 72-nucleotide transfer RNA is filed under the name Ovis aries (sheep). It matches the Rfam family "tRNA". Rfam says of the family: Transfer RNA (tRNA) molecules are approximately 80 nucleotides in length. Their secondary structure includes four short double-helical elements and three loops (D, anti-codon, and T loops). The record is from Rfam by way of RNAcentral. Lineage: Eukaryota; Metazoa; Chordata; Mammalia; Artiodactyla; Bovidae.